Molecule: ribosomal RNA, 490 nt
Filed under: uncultured bacterium
Lineage: Bacteria
Description: partial 16S ribosomal RNA
Rfam family: Bacterial small subunit ribosomal RNA
Source: RNAcentral
GAUGAACGCUAGCGAUAGGCUUAACACAUGCAAGUCGAGGGGCAGCAUGGUCUUAGCUUGCUAAGACUGAUGGCGACCGGCGCACGGGUGCGUAACGCGUAUGCAACUUGCCUCACAGAGGGGGAUAACCCGUCGAAAGACGGACUAAUACCGCGUACACUUGGGAUAGGGCAUCCUGACCCAAGGAAAUGAAAUUCGCUGUGAGAUAGGCAUGCGUCCCAUUAGCUAGUUGGUGAGGUAACGGCUCACCAAGGCGACGAUGGGUAGGGGAACUGAGUGGUUGAACCCCCACACUGGUACUGAGACACGGACCAGACUCCUACGGGAGGCAGCAGUGAGGAAUAUUGGUCAAUGGGCGAGAGCCUGAACCAGCCAAGUCGCGUGAAGGAUGACUGUCUUAUGGAUUGUAAACUUCUUUUAUACGGGAAUAACAAGAGUCACGUGUGGCUCCCUGCAUGUACCGUAUGAAUAAGCAUCGGCUAGCUCCGUG